RNAcentral lists this microRNA (23 nucleotides) under Panagrellus redivivus. RNAcentral describes it as "prd-miR-7966a-5p". The record is from miRBase by way of RNAcentral. Lineage: Eukaryota; Metazoa; Nematoda; Chromadorea; Rhabditida; Panagrolaimidae.
CACGUCGAUGAUGUAUCCUCAGC